UGCUGAAUUGUACAGGUACCUCUAAGUGGACCCGAACCUCCAGCUUUUCUGUUAGCAGCAUGGCGCUCAACUGUCUGUACCAUGCAAGGCCUCCAGGACUUGAGACAAGCCCUUCUCCACUUGCACAGAAACGCAGUGCUUUGCUGUCUGCGCGUGUCCAACAUAGUGCCUGGGACACAGGAGGAGCACCAGGCCCAUAGUGCCUGGGACACAGGAGGAGCACCAGGCCCACAGCGCCUGGGACACAGGAGAAGCAUCAGGCCAAGUGGGCGGUAGACACGCAGUGCUGUGGAGCAGUAACAGCCGUCGUUCGUGCUGCUGUGGCUGAAUUCUAACCUUUUCUUCCUGACUACUGUUUUCUUCUGUUUCUUUGGAAGAAAAUUACCUCUGGAAACUUUUGAUAAACAAGCCUGAAAAUGGGCCUCAUUUGUGUUUUUCUGGUGUCUAAAAUUCUUGUAUGUUUGUGUUUUUUCCCUCUCCCAGAAAUCACAUGGUGCUUGGCUUGUCAGUUGUUCCUGGAUUCUCCGUGUCUAACUCAGUGCCAGGCACUGAAUAGGAGAUAGUGAUAUACGUACACAUACACAAAACACCAAGGAGCCCUGGUGGCACAGUGAUGAAAUCACUUGGCUGUUAACUGAAAUGUUGGUGGUUCAAACCCACCAGCCCUUCCACAGGAGAAAGAUGUGGCAGUCUGUGUCCAUAAAUAUUUACAGCCUUAGAAAACCUAUGGGGUCACUAUGAGUCUGACUUGACUCAACAGCAGUGGGUUUGGUUUGCAUAAAAGCUACUGUAGAGUUAGCCCCUGACUCACAGCGACCCCACAAGCAACGGAUCCUACUGCUGUGAUCCGUAGGGUUUCCAUCGGCUGAUUUUCAGAAAUAGAUUCCCAGGCCUUUCUUCCUAGUCUGUCUUAGUUUGGAAGCUCCACUGAAACCUGUUCAGCAUGACAGCAACACACAAGCCUCCAGCGACAGACAGGUGCACUGGCCGGGAAUCAGACCUGGGUCUCCCACGUGGAAAGAGAGCAUUCUACCACUGAGCCACCACUGCCCCCCAGAAGACGUAGAUGUAUAAAACCAAAAAAAACCCAGAGCUGUUGAGUCGAUUCUGACUCAUCGUGACCCUACAGGGCACAGAAGAACUGCCCCAUAGGGUUUCCAAGGAGCGGCUGGUGGAUUUGACCCGCCGACAUUUUGGUUAGCAGCUGAGCUCUUAACCACUGUGCCACAUAUACAUAUAUAAGACACAUGUAUGAGUAUGUACACGUAUACACAGAUGAGACAUGUGUAUGUGUAUGUAUACAUAUAAGGCAUAUGCAUAUGUACACACACAUAUGUGUAUUUAUGGAUAGGCAGUCAUAGUUCACUCAGAGAUGCCUACUUCGGCUAGAGCUAGCACCCUGUGAAAAAUGAGUUUAUUCACGGUUCUUUUCUUCAUUCUGUGUGUGUUUAUUGAACACCGACUGAGUACAGCUUAUUUGCCAGUCACAGUUUAUGACUCUGCUCGGCUCCACCAGCGGCCCCCCAUAGGCUUAAUGCGGCACGUGUGAUCCUUCUGAGGUCUCCAGAACGCACAGUUCUUACUUACAUUCAUUAGGCAAGCAUCUCAGCAGCAUUAGUUUUUUUCGAUCACUGAUCCUGCCAUUGUUAAACAUAAUCAGUACAUUUGUUUUUCUCAAUUACCAAUUUUAUGGUAGAGCUCUGGCAGUUGAACCUCCACCUUCUCUCGCUGGAAAAGAUGGUACUCGGCUUGCUCACAGACGGGUGGGAUCAUAUUGAACUGUCUUGCUACAGAAUAGGCUUCCUAGGGAGGAAUGACAUUGAAAGUGAAUUUAUGCUGAUGAGAAACAAGACUUCACAGUGGCUUGUACUUUAGUGAAAUCAGUACACCCCCAGAAGCAUAGAAGAUGCCAGAUAACAAGCAAAGUAAGAGCACAAUUUCACCAAGAGUGAUACCAAAUGUGGGGAACUUACGCUAUUCCUUGGAAGUCCAGAGGAAAUUACUCAAAGUAUGAAUUAUGGACUCUGAUAAAGAAAUGUGGUUUGGCUAUUUCUAGGUUCAUCAGGAAACAAAACUUAGACUGAUGUGUACGAAGGAUCUGCAGCCAGGACUUUACGAGCAGCAUCCACCAGUUACUGGUUGCCACCCCGUCAACUCUGACUCAUGGCGACCCCAUGCGUGUCAGAGUAGAACUGUGCUCCAUAGGGUUUUCAGUGACUGAUUUUUCAGAAGGAGAUUAUAGGCAUUUCUUCCAAAGUACCUCUGGGUGGACUUAAACCACCAACCUCUCAGUUAGCAACAAUCGCAUUAACCAUUGGACCACCCUAAUCCAUUGCCAUAGCGUGGAUCCCGACUCACAACGACCCUAUAGGACAGAGUAGAACUGCCCUAUAGGGUUUCCAAGGAGCAGGUGAUGGAUUCAAACUGCUGACCUUUUGGUUAGCAGCCGAGCUCUUAACCACUGUGCUGCCAGUUUGUAUUUGAUAUAGUUAUUUUUUUUUUUUUAAAGAAAACUAGAAUACUCUGUUCAUAUUUCUCAUUAGCAUUGAAAUUCAUUUUACCCUCUUGCCAUCAAAGAGCACGCCAAACCUUGAUUCCUGCUAGGGACCCAGGGCCCUUUCUGUUGUAUUCAUUCUGCGGAGAUCCAGCCCCAAUAUCCAUCUCUAUCAUGAUGAAAUUGAUCACGGAAUGCCAGCGCCAUAAUGAUUGUGAGAACAGUUUGUGAAAGGUCUUGCAACUUACAUAUGGUAUGUGAUGGACAACAAUAAGGUAGUCAACGGCCAUUGGAAAACAGAAGGUAAAGUACCAUGAUCUCCAUCGCACUCCACCGCGAGGUGCCCCAGUACAUUGCCAUCCCUUGGUUUAUCACGUGUGUCAUGGCUCGAACGAUUUCUAGGGAAGGCCAGAUAGAGAGCAGUUCAUGGGUUCUCAACGUCUCAAAGUUACAUGGUCUGGUUUUUUUUUUUCCUCCCCCAAAGUUAGAACUUUAAGGCAAUUAUUUCUUUGAUUAAUAUACCUGUUUCUGUCAAGUGGAUUCCAACUCAUAGCGACCCUAUAGGACAGAGUAGAACUGCCCCCAUAGGGUUUCCAAGGCUUUACGGAAGCAGGCUGCCACAUCUUUCUCCUGUAGAGUGGCUGGUAGAUUCGAACUGCUGACUUUUCGAUUAGCAGCUGAGCGCUUAACCACUGCACCACCAGGGAUCCUCUUGAUUAAUAUAGUUACUUUAAUAUUUCCAAACCAAAAACCCACAGCUGUAGAGGCGAUUCCUCAUAGCAACCCUAUAGGGUUUCCAAGGCUGUGUACCUUUAAGGAAGCAGACUGCCACAUCUUUCUCUGUGGACUGAUUUAACCACUGGGCAACCAGGACUCCUGACUUCAGUAUUAUGACAACAUAAUAGUCUACCAUGAUACAUUGAUGGUUUGGAGGCCGGCAGUACUUUCAUGUAAACUGACAUUCCAUUUUGCAGCAACGGUGUUAAAUGAUACUAGAAGCAUAAUGACCAUUUGAAGCUCUUCUUUUACUUUGCUUCAUGGUUCCUGGCCUCAUAAUCUCUUUCAGAACCUGGGUACCUUGCCGGCUAAAGUGAGAAGUAAGAGAAAGCACCCGUUUUGACUUUGUAGGAUGUAACAUCAUUGAGGGUAGAGGGCCGGUUGCUGGGAGUAAGAUUUGCAGAGCUGGGCCUGCACAGUGUGGCUGUUUAAUAGAGACCACCCAACACCAGUGAGUUAAGCAGAAAGAUCAACAUAUUAAACACUGAACAAACAGCUGCAACCGCAGUGCCUCAAAGCCCGCGAUGGCACGCCUUGUGCCUGACCCCUUGGAACCAAGCCUUGUUCUAAGAUACCCACGUAAUUGAUUUCCUGGGGCCUGCCCAGGGCCCCACCCAGCUUGCUCAUCAGCCUCUUCCAGCUCGACAUCACACUUCCUAAACAGGAAGACGAUCCCUUCCACUGAGAGGUGGAGCUGAGCAGACAUGGUACAGAGCCAGAGAGUACAGAGAGUCACGAGGUCAAAUUAGUGAGAAUUCACAGACAGAGCUGGAUUUCUUCUACAAAGCAGAGUCGUGCCAAGCAGAACCCGGAGCUCCCAGCAACAAGAUGAGCACAAAACACUUGGCUACCUGGAGGUCACUGAAAGAGAAGCUCAGGUGGAGAAGAGAUUGUGACUCUUCCUGUGUAUCCAUUCACUUACGCAACAGGAACACAGGCCACAAGCAGCUCCCCUGUUCCCUCAUUCAUCCCUGUAACCUUGGAUGAUACAACCUUUCUUGCUGAAAGCGAAGAGGACUUGAAGUACAUACUGAUGAAGAUCAAAGACCACAGUCUUCAGUAGAGAUUACACCUCAACAUAAAAAUCCUCACAACUGGUCCAAUGAGCAACAUCACGAUAAAUAGAGGAAAGAUUGAGUUGUCAAGGAUUUCAUUUUACUUGGAUCCACAAUCAACACCCAUGGAAGCAGCGAUUAGGAAAUCAAGUGAUUUAUUGCAUUGGGCAAAUCUGCUGCAAAAGACCUCUUUAAAGAGUUUAAAAACAAAGAUGUCACUUUAAGGAGUAAGGUGAGCCUGACUCAAUACAUGGUAUUUUCAAUUGCCUCAUAUGCAUGUGAAAGCUGAACAAUGAAUAAGGAAGGCUGAAGAAGAAUUGAUGCCUUUGAAUUAUGGUGUUGGUGAAGAAUUUUGAAUCUACCCUGGACUGCCAGGAGAAUGAACAAAUCUAUCUUGGAAGAAGUGCAGCCAAAAUGCUCAUUAGAAGCAAGGAUGGUGAGACUUGCCUCACGUACUUUGAACAUGUUAUCAGGAGGGACCAGUCCCUGGAGAAGGACAUCAUGUUUGGUAAAGCAGGGGGUCAGCAAAAGAGAAGAAGACCCUCAGAUGGACUGACACAGUGGCUGCAACAGUGGGCUCAAGCAUAACAACGAUUGUGAGGAUGGCGCAGAACCAGGCAGUGUUUUGUUCUGUUGUACAGAGGACAGCUAUGAUUCGGAACCAACUCGACGUCACCUAAUAACAACCUUAGCACGCAGCUGCCCCCCAUAAAGGCUGCAAUGAGUGGUGUGAACUGAGACAGGUCUGCCCAGCUCUGGCACCAUCACGCCAUGCGUGACCUUAGCAAGCGGUUUUUACUUCUCUGAGUACUGGUUUCGCCCAUCUGUAAAGUGAGGAUAAUAUUGGUUCUGUGGGAUUCUCUCAAAGCUUGAAAUGAGAUAAUGUGUGUGGACUAACUGUGAAUCUGAAAGUAACACGAACUGAGUGACUGGUGAGCGAGCAGGAUGUGGUCUCUGGUUGUGACUUCUCAAAUAGACACAGCCCCUAACAUUAGUGACCAAAAAAAAAAAAAAAAGACAUUCUUUUUUUAAUUAUGUAGGUCAUCUAUGUUUAGGAAUGUACAUUUUAUACCAAAGAACUAAAGCUAUUUCAUUUUGUAUGAAAAAAAAAUUUUUGGUUGGUGAACAUUUUUUUUAAAUUAACCCUCAUGCAAAAAAAUCGCUGGUCACAUUAAACCUCUCUUCACGUGAAAGGUCCCUUCGAACUUUGAAAGUUGUUAAGCAGAUAGCUAUACUGCAUGAACAAUAAACACUAAAGACUAAAACCAUCAGGCCCGUUGCCAUCGUGUUUUGACUUGCAGCGACCCUAUGUGACAGAGUGGAACUGCCCCUUAGGGUUUCCGAGGCGACAGCCUUUACAGCAGCAGAUCACCAAGUCUUUCUUCCUUGGAGCAGCUGGUGGGUUUGAAUCUCCAACCUGUUGGUUAGCAGCUGAGCACUUAAUCACUGUGCCACCAGGGCUCCUUAUAAAGACUAAAGAUAUGCAGAAAUGAUUGUUUUGCUCAAAUAAAGUAUACUUAAUCUGGCCAUAAAACCAAAACAACCAAACCCAUUCCUGUCAAAUUGAUUUCGACUCACAAAGACCCUAUAGGAUAGAGUAGAACUGCCCCACAGAGUUUCCAAGGCUGUAAUCUUUCUGGAAGCAGACUGCCACAUCUUUCUCCCGCAGAGCCAAUGUUGGAUUCAAACAGUCCACCUUUUGGUUAGAUCCCAUAUAGACAGUUCUUAAAAGAGCGUAAUGCUCACAGCAGACCUUUUUUACUAGUUAAACCUGUUGUCGUAGGGUCGAUUCUGAACUGCCCUAUAGGGUUUCGAAGGAGCAGCUGGUGAAUUCAAACUGCUGACCUUUUGGUUAACAGCCCGAGAUCUUAACCACUGUGCCACCAGGGCUCCUUUUAGGGGUUAAGAAGCUAUACAUUUUUAAUAUUAUUUCUUCCUCUACCAGACAUAUACUCUUUAACUCCAGCAAGGGGGUGACUGUUCAUCCUACAUUUAGAUAAAAAUGGCCGAGUAGCUCACUCUAGGCAACGACACAGCUCUCUGAUCUUUCAGUACAGCUCUAUCCUCAUUAUUCCCUGUAAUUCUCUCCUCACCACCUCCAGUCUUCCCAGCCUCUAUCUAGAUCUCAUCAGCCUCCUGACACUUUCCAAGAAAUAAUUAGGUAGAAGAUGGAUCAUUGAAUUUCACCUUUUCCUUGAGCAUAUUCCCACUGAUAAUGUGAUUUAAAACUAUCCACUCGUAACCCCUCCGUUUGACUAAUACUGAAUAGAAGAUGAAUGAGAUGCAACGGUAAUGAAAGAGCUGAUUGCUGUCCUGAUGAAAGGGAGGAAAAAAACCGAGGGAGCACCCACAAUGAGGAAGGGGUACAGUACUAUCACUGCAUAUGUCUCGUCCUAUAGGAUUUGCGAGCACCGAAUGAAUUCCAAUUCGUUUAAAAACAUGCAGGAGGAGAGAAAUUAAACUCAUGCCUGAAAUCCCUGCAAUGGGAGGAUUAAAACAAACAAACCAACCUAAGGGAAGUGAAAAUCCCAGGGUUGUUCGAUUUUCCUAAAUACCUGACUUAUGCGUUCAUCUCUUAAGCUUAACAUUAUAUCAUCCGUGGAUUAUAGGAAACUGGCCCUGUAAGUUAGCAUGCGGGGUUUCUUUGGCGAUGUUACUACAGUAAAUCAUUAAAAAAGGAAUUUUUACAGUUUGAACGGGUCUUUCCUUGACAUGUGGAAUAUCUCCCUGAUAUAAUUGAAAACAUUAAAAUUUGAAAAGGGAUGGUCUCUCUGUCUUCUAAAAAUUUUUUAAAAUUUGCUUUUGUCACUUAGAGUCCUUGGGUAGUGAAAAUGAUUUGCAUUUAUCUACUAACCUAAAGGUUGGUGAUUCGAACCCGGCUAGCUGCACUGCAGAAGAAAGGCCUGGUGAUCUGCUUCCAUAAAGAUUACAGCCAGGAAAACCCUAUGGAGCAGUUUUACUCUGUGACACAUGGGGUCGCCAUGAGUUGGAAUCAACUUGACGGCAACGGGUUUUUUGUUUGUUUUCUUUCCACUUCGGUUUUUGAUCCAUCUUGAGUUGUCUUUUGUGUAUUGUGUAAGGUAGGGAUCUGAUUUCCUUUAUUUCCCACAUUAUCAUGGAAGACCGAUAACCACUUUCCCAACCCCAUUUAUUGAAUAGACCAAAAAGCCAAACCCAUUCCUGUUGAGUCAAUUCCAACUCAUAGCAACCCUACAGGACAGUGGAACUGCCCCAUAGGAUUUCCAGGGAGCAGCUGGUGGAUUCUAACUGCCAGCCUUUUGGUUACCAGCCAAGCUCUUAACCACUGCACCAUCAGGGCUCACCUAGGAAUUUAUAGGUACCCUUUACUAGCUGUAACAUAUAAAAGGUCUAAAGACCAUAUCUUUGAGAAUUACUAGCUUUUUAUUUUGUGAUCCUCUUUAGCUUUUGGCUGCAGUUUUUCUUACUGAGAAAUGAAGAUGUCUCUAACUUCUUGAUGUAUAAACUAAGUUUUUUUGUUUUUUUUGAUGGAGUAAGUUUGCAAAACUCAAUUGAGUUCUACCUCCUAGUUCAGUAAGUAGCUCCAGGGGUCUUGAAAGCUUGUGAGCAGCCACCUAAGAUGCAGUGAUUGGUCUCUAUUCACCUGGAGCAGCAGAGGAAGAAGGAGACCCAGGAACUAGAGAAGGACAUGGACUGUAGGUCUAAUUGCCUCCAUAAACUACUACCUCCACUACCACGGGACCAGAAGAAAUGGAUGGUGCCUGACUACUAUUAUCGAAUGUUUUUUGGUUUUUAAUAUAAUUUGUUGUUGUUGAGAAUAUACACAGCAGAACAUAUACCAAUUCGAUAAUUUCUACACGUACAGUUCGUUGACAUUGAUUACAUUCUCCCAGUUAUGCAUCCAUUCUCACCCUCCUUUUCUGAGUUGUUCCUCCCCCAUUAGCAUAAACUCACUGCCUCCUAAAGUUCCCAUCUAAUCUUUUGAGUUGCUGUUGUCAACUUGAUCCCAUAUAGAUAAAAGAACACAAUGCUCAAGGCAGACAUUCUUUACUACUUAAGCUAAACUAUUAUUUGGUUUUAUGAAGACUUCAGGGGGUAUUUUUGGUUUAAGGUUUAAAGAUUAAAAAAAAAAAAAACUUUAAAGAUUAGCUCAGGGUAAAAGCUUCAGGGGCUCAUCCAACUUCCAUGGCUCCAGAAAGCCUGGAUUCUAUGAGAAUUUCAAAUUCUGUUCUGCAUUUCCCCUCCUUUGAUCAGAAUUCUUCUAUAGAAUCCUUCAUCAAAAUAUCCACUACUGAAUGUUUUGAUCAAGGGCCCAAUAGAUGGAUCCUCAGCAAAAGGAGGAAAAGUGUGGAACAGAAUAUCAAACUAAUAUAGAAAUCAGAUGUACUAGAUCCAUUGAGACUGAGGGAAUCUUUGAAUCUAAUGCCUGGAAAUAAUCUUUAAACCUUGAACCAAAACUAUCCCAUAAAACCAUCGUUAAAUUAAGCAACGGUUUAGCCCAAUUAAUAGAGAACAUUUGUCUUGAGCAUAGCGCUCUUAUAUAGAAUUAUCUAUAUGAGUGUGAACCGACAACAGUUAAUCUAAUGCACAGAUGAAAACUUAAAGGGGCAAAGAGGCUAAAUUAAUGAUGAAACAAUAUGGGCAGAGAUAGUGAGAAUGGUGACACAAUGUGAAGUAUGUAACCAAUGUCACUGAACUGUUCAUGUAGAAAUUGGGAAUGGAUAUAUGUUUGGUUGUGUAUAUUGUCACCAAAAAUAAACAAAAAAUUUGAAAAAAAUGUAAAAAAACCCAACUCAAUUGAAAGUCCUUCAAUUGUAAAAGAGAUUUACUGCCUCUUGUCACUGGAAGUGCAGAGGUGGCCUGUACUUCAGGGUUGGUUGUUCCAACAAGUUAUUGAGGACCAACUUGUUUUCUGACUCUCUGCUCCGCUACCCCAAGGCUGGUUUCCCUUGUGGCAUUGAGGUGGCUCUCAGUAGCAUUCGUAGCUGUGUGCUUCCUUGUUCAUACUUAGCUGGGCCCUUUUUCCACAGUGUUUCAAGCAAGACUCCUGAUGCUCACCCUGAUUGGGCUGCUUCAGUCACAUGAGUCAAUGACUGUGGCCAAUGGAAAAAAAAUGGGCUGACUGGUCCACCUUGGAAGUGGGAAUGGGCAAGGAGAGGGGAUGCUAGUCUUCUCUGGAUCAAUUCGCUUUAUGGGGUAGAGGUGAUCACACACAUGAAAACCUGGAUGCCUGAGAAAGGAGGGAUGGCUGCCGGGUAAGUGACCAACAAUUUCUACCAUGUUUGGAUGAGGUCUUGUUGAACACACGUGGAACAGAAGGGCAGGGAGGGGUCUAACUCUACUGAGUGCCUAGUAUGUGCUCCGUGUUUGGGGGCAUUUAAGUUCUACUAUAAUUCUGUGAGGUGAUAUUGUUAUGUUUCCAUCUUACAUUUGAAAAAAUUGAAUCUCAGAGAGAUUAAAAACUUGAAGGUAGUUCUGAAUUUUCCCACUAAAAUCAGCUCCAUCUGCUAAUCCCUUUUCUCAAACAAAACAAAACAAAUGACCUUUUUCCCUUUCCCUGUGCCCAUAUUUAUAUUUCAUGCCCAUCUUUUGGUUAUGACACUUGAAACACAUAAGGGAGUUGACAGUAUUGAUAUCAACUGAGGAAGCAAGCCCUCAGACUUGUCAAAAGGAAACGUAUUAUGCAAAACACUCACUAAAGAAUAGUUUUCCAACUGUUCAUUGAAAUGUUACCAAAUAAAUUUAACCAAACCCUACCAGCUUCUACAUGACAUCUAAUAUUUUUUAUGUCCAUUAUGAGUGGAACAGUUAUUUUUACACAUGGGCACAUUUGUCAUUGCAUUGUAGAUAUCUGACUCAAAUAUUGAAUUUCUCAUCUUUUAAAUUGUGUGAACAUCAUCCUCAUUGGUCAGUCAGACAGAUGUUGAAUCUUGACACGUAGCUUCUUAUUCUAUUAUUCUGUCUGGACCUUGUUAUUUAUACAACUGUCUGUGUAUCAGCUUCUCAGGACAGGCUUUUAACUUUAUGUGAAAAGAAAUUCUAACUUGUGGGUGAAAGAAUAAAGCAAAAAGCUUGGCAGAGGAUUGAUAAAAGUAAAAAAAUAUAUAUAUAUUUCUCCUAAUGAGAUUUUCUACUGGCAAAUUCAGUUUUAUGCCAUAAAGGGAAGCAAUCUCUAUUUCUUCUUUAAUAGUAUAAGGCUGGCCUUACUUCUUGGUUCUACCACAGGAGAUGUCUGGAAGGAGAUGCUAUCUUAAUCGUAAUGAUUUUAAAACCUCUACCCCUGCAGCCAAUACAGCUCACUGCCAGCCCAAACUCCAUGUUUGUUCUGCAGUGCUUAUUAUGUUUGUCGGGCAUCUGGUAACUCACCAAAAGGCAACCUGUAAACUUGACGUGGUGAAGUUGAAUGAUUUCUCAGCUUUUCAACAGUGAACUCCCUGGUAAAGAGGAGCAACUAAUCCUGUUAAUAUUUUAAACCAAAGCAUCUGUCACUUUCUACAUUAACAUUUAAGGCUGGGUGGGAUACAGACCCCAAAUUCUGGUAAAGAGACCAGACUUCAUGGUCUGGCUGAGACUAGAAGGACCCCAGAGGUCAUGGUCCCCAGAACUUCUGUUAGCCCAAGACAGGAACCAUCCCCAAAGCCAACUCUUCAGACAGGUAUUGGACCGGACUGUGGGACAGAAAAUGAUUCUGGUGAAGAAUGAGCUUCCUGGAUCAAGUAGACACAUAAGACUAUGUUGGCAUGUCCUGUUUGGUGGGGAGAUGAGAGGGCAGAGGGGGUCAGGAGCUUGGCUGAAUGGACAGGAAAAGAGAGAGUGGAGGGAAGGAGUGUGCUGUCUCAUUAGGGGGAGAGCAAUUAGGAGUAUAUAGCAAGGUGUAUAUAAAUUUUUGUAUGAGAGACUGACUUGAUUUGUAAACUUUCAGUUAAAGCACAAUAAAAAUUAAAAAAAAAUUUUUUUAAGGCUGGCCUAGGAGUGGCUGGGCAACUUUCACUGCAAGGAAAACCCUCUGGUGGGUCUGCAUUGGGAUGCCCCAUGUUCUAUUCCUUGGACCCAUUUCACUAUUAGACAUGUCUUCUUGGUUCUGAUCCCUUAGACUCUUUCUUUGGGGCUUUUCUUCCUUUUUCUGAGGAUCUUCUUCCUCCCUCACCCCAAAAUGGCAGUUUUCCCUUAUUUUCUCUGUUAGAGUCUUCUGCUAAGGAAGGAUUUAGCAACGUUUUUCAUGGUAAGACAGUGUUUCUUAAACUCUAUGAACAGUACCCACUGAAGUGGCUGCAAAAGCAAACAUCAUUGGACAGCUCUGACUUUAUCAUUAAAAUGUAUGCAAAUUAUUUAUUCUACACCAUAAGAAAGCAUUUAUUUUAAAACAGUAAUAAUAUUUUUCUUUACAAAUCUUUGAGUAAUACUUUGUGUAAAAUGCCUCUCAAUACAGUUUUCCACGUGGUCAAGCUUGUAAGAAACUCGGUUUCUUUUUGUUUUCCUGACAACAUCCCUCCUAACACUCUGUCUUCCUGCUACAGCCUGUACUGGUUGCUCUCUGUGUCUAAAGCAUAGCUGUCCUCCUGGGACCACCCUUCCCUCAUCCUGGAAAUUCCCUUCCUUUUCAUGGGAUGGCUCUUUCUGGCUUUUAUUCUCUCAUUUUGGUGACGUGCAUUUUCCAGUAACUUCUGAGAAAUUUGUUUGGGAGACAGAGAAGUCAAAAUGUCAUUAUUCCCUCACCCCUGACUGGUAGUUGUGCCCACCAGGUUGAAAAUAUUUUUGCUUAGAAAUUCGUAAGCCUGCUCCGAUACUGCUGUUGAGAACCCCUAGACAAUCCUUAUUCUUAAUCCUUCAUGCGUGUACUCUUUUAACCCUCUGGAAUACUUUAGUAUGUUUUCUUUAUCUUUGAGAUUGUGAAAGUUCACGUUGGUGUUACUCUAAAUGAAUCUCCAUUCACUGCGCUAAGUACUUGCUGGGCCCUCUCAAUCUAGAGACUCACGUUUCUCAUAUCUGGAAAUUUUCUUGUAUUAUUUCUCUGAUAACUCUCUCUCCCACCAUUUUAUUGGUUUUCUCUCUAGAAAUUCUUUACGUGAACAGAUGUUGGAUGUCCUGGACAGAACCUUAACUUUUUUAACUUUUCAUUUCUACUGUCCAUGUCUUUUUCCCUUCUACUUUCUGGGACAUUUCUUCAACUUUAAUAUCUAAAAUUUGUGUUGAUUUUGUUUUUACUUUAGCCAUUAUACUUUCAAACUGUAAAAUCUUUUUUUAGUUCUAUGUUGUUUUUGCUCUCUUUCAUCCUAUUUUUGUUUUAAUAAUGCAAUAUCUUCUCUUAUCUUACUGAGCAUACUAAUUAUAAUUUCUUUGAAAUUUUCUGUAUCUCUCUGCAUUCCUGUUUUCUAUUUAUUUGAGCUCUUUCUUUAAACACCAGGGGGUCCUUGGGUUUCUGUUCACAUUUAACAGUGAGGUACUAAAAUUGUGCUUAGAUGGUGUCAACAAGUUCAAUUCACUGUGGGAUCAUUUGGGGGACUUACUAUUUUUUUUUUUCUCAUUUGAGUUUUUUCCCCAGGAAUGUCAGUAUUUGUUAGACUGUUUUCUGGGACAGUUCUUUCCAGAGAAAUACUCUCCCAUCUUCUGCUUGGGGACAGUAUAACCUGGCUGCUAGUGACCUGGAGUGAGUGAGAGAAGGUGGAGGGGGGGUCUCAAAAUUCAUAAUCCUUUUUUCUUUUUCCAGUCUGACCCAAACUUCCUCUAUCUCUGGAACCCCCAAGAGCAGAGGCUCUCAACUCAGUUUCUCUAAUUCAUAUGCCCCUGACUCCCACAUGGGAGGAAAAAGGCAGGACCUUGACUGCAGACUUGGGGACACAGGGCUUCAGUCACUCCUUUUAAUCUUUCAAAUAACUACCUUGUUCUUAGUUUCUGCCUCACCCCAACUUUUGUGGCACUGGUGCCUGUAAUGCCUGAACCAUCCUGAGGUUGUGGGUACAAAUAUACUUGUUUCUCAUCUGCAGACACCUUUAAUAACUCUUUCGCAGCUCUGCUAAGUUAUUUAUGAUUGCUCCAUCCUUUUCCCACUUUCACUUAUGUUCGUGCAGGUGUCCAGUUUUCUGCUACUUUCCUCAGAGAUAGCGUUUCUAUUUUUGUUCCUUGUCCUCUAUGUUGUUUAUUUUAAAAAUAUAUAUAUAUUUUUAAUGCUGAAAAAAAAAUAUAACACAAAUUUGCCAAUUCAACACUGAUUAUUGGUGAUGGUUUUCUGGCGUACAAUCCAAAUUGCAGUGGUUGGGGUUUUAUAGCAUAUGAUGUUUUCCAGUAUUUGAAUAUUGGCAACCAAUUACUCCCCAAAGCAGAAGUGACACUUUCAAAGUUGUCAGAUUCCUGGAGAGGGGUUGUGGGGCAGAUGAGUGAUGGGGCACGAGAGAUGUCUCUGUGUAAUGUGUACCUUUUAUAUAGGUGGCCAAGUGCCUUACUCUGUAAUUUCUAGAGACUUUAAUCUUAGACAUGGCAUGCAAGGUUUCCCUAAACUUCCAAUUACUUUGGAUUUAAAGGUAUUUUCUUAUAAUCUAAACAAAUUUAUUUUAUGAAACUAAUGGAAGAGUUACUGUGUUUUGGAUGUGUAAUUUAAGUCAAAGGAGCCCUGGUGGCACAGUGGUUAAAGUGCUCGGCUGCUAACCAAAAGAUUGGUGGUUCAAACCCACCAGCCACUUCACUGGAGAAAGAUGUGGCAGUCUGCUUCUGUAAAGAUUAAAAAAAAAAAAAAACCCACUGCCAAA
Molecule: long non-coding RNA, 14048 nt
Organism: Loxodonta africana (African savanna elephant)
Lineage: Eukaryota; Metazoa; Chordata; Mammalia; Proboscidea; Elephantidae
Exons: 5
Source: RefSeq, a predicted model, not a curated record